This 178-nucleotide unclassified non-coding RNA is filed under the name uncultured Pochonia. RNAcentral describes it as "sequence contains ITS2". Lineage: Eukaryota; Fungi; Ascomycota; Sordariomycetes; Hypocreales; Clavicipitaceae. The record is from RNAcentral.
CAACCCUCAAGUCCCAGCGGCUUGGUGUUGGGGACCGGCGAGCGAAGCCCCUCCGGGGGUUUCACGCCGCCCCCGAAAUGAAUUGGCGGUCUCGUCGCGGCCUCCUCUGCGUAGUAGCACAACCUCGCAACAGGAGCGCGGCGCGGCCACUGCCGUAAAACGCCCAAACUUUUUUUAG